Molecule: ribosomal RNA, 846 nt
Filed under: uncultured prokaryote
Description: bacterial SSU rRNA
Rfam family: Archaeal small subunit ribosomal RNA
Source: RNAcentral
GCUUAAAGGGGCCGUAGCUUGAUAAUAGGGUCCCUUGAGAAAUCCGCCGGCUUAACUGGCGGGCGUUCAGGGGAAACUUGUUUUCUAGGGACCGGGAGAGGUGAGGGGUACUGCCGGGGUAGGAGUGAAAUCCUGUAAUCCCGGUGGGACCACCUAUGGCGAAGGCAUCUCACCAGAACGGGUCCGACAGUGAGGGACGAAAGCUGGGGGAGCAAACCGGAUUAGAUACCCGGGUAGUCCCAGCUGUAAACUAUGUGCGUUAGGUGUGUCAGUGACCACGUGUCACUGAGGUGCCGAAGGGAAACCGUGAAACGCACCGCCUGGGGAGUACGGUCGCAAGGCUGAAACUUAAAGGAAUUGGCGGGGGAGCACCACAACGGGUGGAGCCUGCGGUUUAAUCGGACUCAACGCCGGGAAUCUCACCGGAUAAGACAGCUGAAUGAUAGUCGGGAUGAAGACUCUACUUGACUAGCUGAGAGGAGGUGCAUGGCCGUCGUCAGUUCGUACUGUGAAGCAUCCUGUUUAGUCAGGCAACGAGCGAGACCCACGCGAGCAGUUGCCAGCUUGACCUUCGGGUUGAUGGGGACACUGCUCGGACCGCCUCUGCUAAAGGGGAGGAAGGACUGGGCAACGGUAGGUCAGCAUGCCCCGAAUUAUCCGGGCUACACGCGGGCUACAAUGGACAGGACAAUGAGUUUCGACACCGAGAGGUGAGGAUAAUCUUCUAACCCUGUCCCAAGUUCGGAUUGCGGGUUGUAACUCACCCGCAUGAAGCUGGAAUCCGUAGUAAUCGCGUUUCAACAUACCGCGGUGAAUAUGUCCCUGCUCCUUGCACUCACCGCCCGU